UGAAUACGAGAUGCUACGGCGUCGAAGCAGUGUAUGUCAGACUUCCAAGAAAAGCUCGCAAUGUCAUAAAUAAAGAAUGCCUGUACCAUAACCGACACAGGUGGGUAGGUAGAGUAUAUUAAGGGGCGCGAGAUAACUCUCUCUAAGGAACUCGGCAAAAUAACUCCGUAACUUCGGGAGAAGGAGUGCCUUCUUUAAGAAGGUUGCAAUAACAAGAUCCAAGCAACUGUUUAUCAAAAACACAGGUCUCCGCUAAGUCGUAAGACGAUGUAUGGGGGCUGACGCCUGCCCAGUGCCAGAAGGUUAAAGAAGCUGGUUAGCAAUAGCGAAGCUGGUGACUGAAGCCCUGGUGAACGGCGGCCGUAACGAUAACGGUCCUAAGGUAGCGAAAUUCCUUGUCGGGUAAGUUCCGACCCGCACGAAAGGCGUAAUGAUUUGGAUACUGUCUCGGAGAGGGACUCGAUGAAAUAGACUUGUCUGUGAAGAUGCGGACUACCUGCACCAGGACAGAAAGACCCUAUGAAGCUUUACUGUAACCUGAAAUUGAAAUUGGACUUUAUUUGCGCAGUAUAGGUGGGAGGCGUUGAAAGUAAUCUUGCGGGAUUAGUGGAGCCAUCAGUGAGAUACCACUCCUAUAAUGUUAGAUUUCUAACUUUGGAUCAUGAUCUGGUCAAAGAACAGUUUCAGGCGGGCAGUUUGACUGGGGCGGUCGCCUCCCAAAUGGUAACGGAGGCGUACAAAGGUUUCCUCUGAACGGGUAGAAAUCGUAUCUAGAGUGUAAAGGCAUAAGGAAGCUUGACUGUGAGAUCUACAAGUCGAGCAGGGACGAAAGUCGGUCUUAGUGAUCUGACGGUGCUGAGUGGAAAGGCCGUCACUCAACGGAUAAAAGUUACUCUAAGGAUAACAGGCUGAUCUCCCCCAAGAGUUCACAUCGACGGGGAGGUUUGGCACCUCGAUGUCGGCUCAUCGCAUCCUGGGGCGGUAGUACGUCCCAAGGGUUGGGCUGUUCGCCCAUGAAAGCGGUACGCGAGCUGGGUUCAGAACGUCGUGAGACAGUUCGGUCCAUAUCCGGUGUAGGCGUUAGAAUAUUGAGAGGAGCCUUCUCUAGUACGAGAGGACCGAGAAGGACAUACCUCUGGCGUACCAGUUAUCGUGCCAACGGUAAACGCUGGGUAGCUAUGUAUGGAGAGGAUAACCGCUGAAAGCAUCUAAGUGGGAAGCCCACCUCAAGAUGAGUAUUCUCAUC
Molecule: ribosomal RNA, 1246 nt
Filed under: metagenome
Description: bacterial LSU rRNA
Rfam family: Bacterial large subunit ribosomal RNA
Source: RNAcentral